This 460-nucleotide ribosomal RNA is filed under the name uncultured bacterium. RNAcentral's name for it is "partial 16S ribosomal RNA". It matches the Rfam family "Bacterial small subunit ribosomal RNA", at positions 338 to 795 of the family's 1533-position model. The record is from RNAcentral.
CCUACGGGAGGCAGCAGUGAGGAAUAUUGGUCAAUGGACGAGAGUCUGAACCAGCCAAGUAGCGUGAAGGAUGACUGCCCUAUGGGUUGUAAACUUCUUUUAUCUGGGAAUAAAAUGUUACACGUGUGGGAUUUUGUAUGUACCAUAUGAAUAAGGAUCGGCUAACUCCGUGCCAGCAGCCGCGGUAAUACGGAGGAUCCGAGCGUUAUCCGGAUUUAUUGGGUUUAAAGGGAGCGUAGGUGGAUUGUUAAGUCAGUGGUGAAAGUUUGCGGCUAAACCGUAAAAUUGCAGUUGAAACUGGCAGUCUUGAGUACAGUAGAGGUGGGCGGAAUUCGUGGUGUAGCGGUGAAAUGCUUAGAUAUCACGAAGAACUCCGAUUGCGAAGGCAGCUCACUGGACUGCAACUGACACUGAGGCUCGAAAGUGUGGGUAGCAAACAGGAUUAGAUACCCUAGUAGUC